UAGGGAAUCUUCCACAAUGGACGCAAGUCUGAUGGAGCAACGCCGCGUGAGUGAAGAAGAUCUUCGGAUCGUAAAACUCUGUUGUUAGAGAAGAACACGAGUGAGAGUAACUGUUCAUUCGAUGACGGUNUCUAACCAGCAAGUCACGGCUAACUACGUGCCG
RNAcentral lists this ribosomal RNA (163 nucleotides) under uncultured bacterium. RNAcentral describes it as "partial 16S rRNA". It matches the Rfam family "Bacterial small subunit ribosomal RNA", at positions 355 to 510 of the family's 1533-position model. The record is from RNAcentral.